Molecule: RNase P RNA, 445 nt
Filed under: Elusimicrobia bacterium RIFOXYC2_FULL_34_12
Lineage: Bacteria; Pseudomonadati; Elusimicrobiota
Description: RNase P RNA component class A
Rfam family: Bacterial RNase P class A
About the family: Ribonuclease P (RNase P) is a ubiquitous endoribonuclease, found in archaea, bacteria and eukarya as well as chloroplasts and mitochondria. Its best characterised activity is the generation of mature 5'-ends of tRNAs by cleaving the 5'-leader elements of precursor-tRNAs.
Source: RNAcentral
GGAGGGAGCUGAAGAAUCGCUCCAGUCUUAAUCGGAGAGGAAAGUCCGGACUCCAUAGAACAGGGUGAUGGUUAACGACCACCGUUUCGAUAUUGUCGGAAUAGGGAAAGUACCACAGAAAAUAAACGGCCAAAUUAACCCUAAAGGUUAAAUGGCAAAGGUGAAAAGGUGUGGUAAGAGCACACCGCUUUAAUGGUGACAUUAAAGGCAUGGUAAACCCCACUUGGAGCAAGGUCCAAACUGAAAAAAGGAGUUGUUCGCUCCGUCAGAUUUUCUAUGUUGACCGCAUGACCCCGAUAGUAAUAUCGGGGCUAGAAAAAUGAUUCUUAACCCCGCCUCAAAAUGUUGUAAGAUAAUGCAGUAAAACUAAAAAAAAUAUUUUGGCAUUAUAACCUACAUUUUGGAGCUGGGUGAACAGAAUCCGGCUUACACGCUUCCUCCCGAU